This 1419-nucleotide long non-coding RNA is filed under the name Homo sapiens (human). RNAcentral's name for it is "non-protein coding lnc-SERPINE3-2:1". Lineage: Eukaryota; Metazoa; Chordata; Mammalia; Primates; Hominidae. The record is from RNAcentral.
AGGUUUGAUUACCACCACCUAAGACACGGCCACUUUUUAAAAUAUUUGUAGUUUAAAUUAAUAACAGGCUCAGUAAGACCAUCAAAAAUACAAGUCUCAAGAGGUACCUGGAGAGUGAACAAACUUUCCUCAAACUGAUUUCAUCCCAUUUGCACCUGAUGUCUGAUACACAGCAGCUACUCGGUAAGCAUUAGCUUGCCUUAUUACUCCCGCUUGGGCUCUGGUAUUCCCUGGGCAGGGGUGCAGUGACCUGAGGGGUGGGAGAUCCACAUGUGGGGGAAGGAAGACACCUGCGAACAGCAGGCUAUGGGGCACGGGGCUAGUGCAGAGGGUCCCUGGACCUGGGGAAGUGAUACUAAUGUGCCUGCCAUGGGCUUGCCCCUGGGCCGAGACCCUGAAGGAAAUCGCUAUUUCAGCCAACUGCAUUGCCUGCACAGGGUCAUUUCGUCUAUGCCAGCUACCCAGCAUGCUUGAAAGCCACCCCCAGAAAAUAAUUUCUCAGAGCAUCAUCUGGGUUUAAUAUUCCGGCGGCAGGUAUAAGUGACAUCAUUGCCUUUUCAGCCCUGAGAGGAAGAGUAAUUUUCUUUUAGGAAAAAAGAAGUGAACUAUGAUUACAGGCAGAUCUUUGAGGUGGAGGAAGGAAAGUGAGGAGUUUUAAGCAAUGUUUUCUGCUCUCAUUCUUGGAACAGCUUUCCCUCUUGCCCUUCCUUUCUCACUUAGCUUAUUUAGUUUGGUCCGUUCAGGGUUCCGUUUCCUAAGGGAGGUUUGGUGGGAGAUCUGGAAGAAAGUGCUGCUGCUUCUGCAUGUAGCAAAUGGUGCCCAGCAGGCAGGGCCCAUCCCCUGGAACACAGGGCUACAAGCCAACCACUCUGUGCCUGUGAGUAAACCACACCAAAAAUGGCCAGUCCAGCACUUCCAGGAGCUGCUCAGGUCAGCAAACUCUUUGAACAGCUCCUUUCAGACAGGUACAGUACUGGAGGGGGACAAAGAUGAACCAGAGGGUCCCUGUGCCCCAAGUUCACAGCUGGUUCCGAUUGUUCUGUGGCAUGGCUCAUGAGAGCCACGGCAUAGGGAAGUGGGGUGUGGCUUUGGAGGGACACCCUCCUGGCCCAGGAAAACAGGAAAGCAUAGCCAAUGCCUGCUGGGAGGCAGCAGUUAGAAGUCCAGGCUCUAGAUCUCACAAAGCAGAGACCAAAUCUUCAAAAAGCAGAGACCAAAUCCUGUCUGUCCUGCGACCUGCCAGCUUUGUCAGGUUGGCCUGUUCAAACACCAGAUCAAAAACCUACUUUCAUCUCCACUGAAUUUUCCCCCAUGUUAGUAGUUAUUUUGUGUUAGCUUCUAUUUAUCCUUCUUUUGAUGUUUUCAUACUUUUAAUUAUAAUUUUAUUAGAAAGUAAUAAAACCAAAUUACCCCAAAAAA